GCCCUUAGAGUUUGAUCCUGGCUCAGAACGAACGCUGGCGGCAGGCUUAACACAUGCAAGUCGAGCGAAGCCUUCGGGCUUAGCGGCGGACGGGUGAGUAACGCGUGGGAACGUGCCCCUUGGUGCGGAAUAGUCCCUGGAAACGGGGUUUAAUACCGUAUGAGCUCUUCGGAGGAAAGAUUUAUCGCCAAGGGAUCGGCCCGCGUUGGAUUAGGUAGUUGGUGGGGUAAUGGCCUACCAAGCCGACGAUCCAUAGCUGGUUUGAGAGGAUGAUCAGCCACACUGGGACUGAGACACGGCCCAGACUCCUACGGGAGGCAGCCGUGGGGAAUCUUAGACAAUGGGGGAAACCCUGAUCUAGCCAUGCCGCGUGAUUGAUGAAGGCCUUAGGGUUGUAAAGAUCUUUCGCUGGGGAAGAUAAUGACGGUACCCAGUAAAGAAGCCCCGGCUAACUCCGUGCCAGCAGCCGCGGUAAUACGGAGGGGGCUAGCGUUGUUCGGAAUUACUGGGCGUAAAGCGCGCGUAGGCGGACUGGAAAGUUGGGGGUGAAAUCCCGGGGCUCAACCCCGGAACUGCCUCCAAAACUGUCAGUCUGGAGUUCGAGAGAGGUGAGUGGAAUUGCGAGUGUAGAGGUGAAAUUCGUAGAUAUUC
This 651-nucleotide ribosomal RNA is filed under the name uncultured Alphaproteobacteria bacterium. Its description in RNAcentral is "bacterial SSU rRNA". It matches the Rfam family "Bacterial small subunit ribosomal RNA", at positions 1 to 699 of the family's 1533-position model. The record is from RNAcentral. Lineage: Bacteria; Pseudomonadati; Pseudomonadota; Alphaproteobacteria.